RNAcentral lists this unclassified non-coding RNA (5748 nucleotides) under Onthophagus taurus. RNAcentral's name for it is "uncharacterized LOC111413719, transcript variant X1". The record is from RNAcentral. Lineage: Eukaryota; Metazoa; Arthropoda; Insecta; Coleoptera; Scarabaeidae.
CACACGUUCUCGGACACUUGCCGGUUUCACUUCGCUCGUGUUUUAAAUUUCAGUGUUGAAAUUGAACUUGUGUUUUGUGAUUUUAGUGCGGAACUUUUCUGGAGUAUCAUCAAAUGAAUUAAAACAAUUAAAGAAAUCUUUCAAAAUGUUAAAAUGGACCGUAAUUAAUAAACGAGCGACCGAUAAAGACGAUCUUCAAUCGCCACAACAACCAAAAUCAUCGGAAAAACCUAAAAGACGACGUUCGAGUACUUCUAGAAGAUCAUCAACGACGAAACGAUCGAAUAAUAAUCAUAACAGAAGGAGUUUAAAUUUGAGCCAUGAUAAAGAAAAUCGGUUUACUUCGACACCGAUUAAAUCGAAUGAUUAUUUUCAAGUUGAAGCUUUAAGAGAUGUUAGUAAUAUAACGCCGAAAGAAACGAAAACGAAAGUUUUAAGUGUUGAUGGGGAAAAAUUGUUUUCGCCGAAACAUGUAAAAUAUAAAAAGAAAAAACGGUGUUUAGAUCCAAAUCAUAAAGAUUGCCCGAUUAAUUAUUUUAAAGCUUUCGAAUCAGUUGAUUCGCAUAUUAGAGGGGAUAAUUGUUUAUGUAACGAUGAUUUGAAUAAAAAUGUGCACGAAAAUAUCAAGAAUGAUGUUGUUAAUAGAAUUCCGUUGUUAUCGAGAAUUUUGCCAACAACAAAUAACGAUGAUCCUCCAUAUAAAAAACCGAAAAUUGAUCACGUUAAUGAUUUUUUAAAUCAAAUAGCUUUUAUUCAAUCGCCUGAAGAUAAAGGUACGAUAGAUAUUGAUGAAAAAGAUUUAAAAGUUUCACCUUUAGUACAAAGAUUUUUAGAUUUACGAUUUUCGAAAAAAGAUCAACACGAAAACUCAUCAUACAUAAAUGAGCUGUCUUUAGAUGAACUUGUAAAUGUUAUAUUAGAUAAUUCUGGGACGAAUGAUGAUAAAAAACAUCCGGUUAAAAAAACUAGAAUGAUCGAGCUUGAAAAUGAACUUAACGAAUCUCGCGAAGAAAACUUAUUAAACGCUAAACAAGAAAAACGUAUUAGUUUUUCCGAUAAAAGUUCGAUGGAUUCUGGAUUUCGAUCGAACUUUGAUGAAAUCUGUAAAUUACCUGAGAUAAUUAACUGUGAUAAAACCAUCAUUAACCUCGAGGAAACUUUUAAUGAGAGAUGUGUUGAUGAUAUUAGACCUAGAAGUAGAAAGAGGAGUUUAUCUCAAGAUGAUGCUAGCUUAUUUACAUUAAAAAGGCAAAAAUGUGUUAGAAGAAGAAGGUUUACUGAUGACGAAGCAAAACCAAGUUCCGGUUGGACACCGCAAAGAUUACAUCAAGAUUUAAACGCAACUUUUUCAAUUAACGAUGAUGUUAACGAUGAUAAUUCGUUUGAUUCGAGUGUUAUGGAGAAAGAUUUAGGAAAUAAAAAGGAUUUAAUCGAAACGACUCCUUGUUUUAAUAAUGGCACGGGAAUUAGGAGGUGUUUACUCUUCGAUUCACCACCUAACCAAAAAAAUAACUCAAUUUCCGGUUGGAUGGAUUUAGAAAUUAAAUUUCGAAACAACGAAUUAUUAUUAACAGUUUUCCGGUGUGGUAAUUUAUUCAGAUCGGAUGGAAAACCGGCGAACGCUUAUAUCAAGGUCUCCUUGAGCCAACGCGAUAAUCGAAAAGGACGAGGAACUUUACAGAGGACCGCCGUCCAAGCCGAAUCCAACAAGCCGACCUUCAACCACACCUUCAAUUUAGCCGUUCUUCGGGACGAAGACGUUUACGAAAGGGUUUAUAUUGAAGUUUGGCAUCGAGAUAGAAUACGAAGAAAAAGCGAAUUCUUGGGAUGUAUGUCUUUUGCGGCCGAAAAUGUCAUUACAAAGGAUGUUAAAGGCUGCUUUUACCUACUUCCACAAUCCACCGGAAGAUGUAAAAAUGUUCCGAUGACCCUGGACAUUCUACCGGAUUACAAUCCUCAUCUUGAUAAAACGAUGUGUGAUAGUCAUUCAAGUAUCGAUGAAGUUGCCACGGCAGUCUUCACAACCGGUGAAGACCUCGAAGACCUUCGAAAAACAACAAUUGGAUGUAAAGCCGCCUUGAGCGAACAACAAAAGCUUGCGGAUGAGAAUCUUUUUCUCAGGUACUUGGAGUUGGAUCCAACGGAAGGUCCUGAGGCGAUACCAGCCGCUCUUCAACGUAAAGCGACCGGGAAUAAGAACGGUCGCACUCCUUUCACAACCACCAAAAAGUUGAUGCGACAACCCAAGACCGGUUUUGGAUUCUCGGUGGUCUGGACGCAUCCUCCGAGAAUUGAAAGGGUCGAAAAGGGGCUCCCCGCGGAUAAGGCGGGAAUCUUGCCUGGAGAUUACGUCAUUUUUGUCGAUAAACAUAAUGUGGUUAUGAUGCCCGAGAUUGAUAUUCUUAAUUUAAUCAGGUCAUAUGGUAAUCAAUUAACAUUAGAAAUAUUCAGAAGAAACUCUUCAAGGAAUGGUUCAGUGCCUAGCGUAAAACCACUGAUGAGUUUCGAAAAUAUCGGUGGAGGUUUACCAGCUCCAUCUUUAUCGACCCAAAGAAGACCUUCAACGGUUUGUUCGACGACUAAUACAGCAUCGGUCGAUUACAGCAGAAAAAAACUCCAAUUACCUCAAAUCACGUUUAAUUCGGAGAAAUUAACCAGUAACAUUGACGACUCGAGAAAAAAAUCGAUCCUUCAGUUAAUAAGCAAAGAACAACAGUACGCCACUGGUCUUCAAUUUGCAAUUACAAGAUUCGUUUCGGCAUUGGCAGAAAGGAAAGAUCUCGUGACGCAACGAGAACAUAAAGUGCUUUUUCAAAAUUGUGAUGAGCUUCUUCAUAUAACGGAAGAAAUCUUGGAACAUUUAGUACAAGAGGAUGGCGAUUCUCAAGUUCACAUCCUACCAAAAAUUUACUUUGCAAAAUUAAGUGAAAUGACCUCGGCGUACAAAAAAUACUGUUCUGGGAUAAAAAAAUCCGAUUGCGUUUUGGCAAAUAAAUUAAAAAAUUCAAAUUCAGAAUUUGUAAGAUUUAUACAAGUUCCUGCGAUUCCUAGAAGAAGACCGGAUAUAACGGCGUUCAUCCAUAAGCCUUUAGAACAUUUUAGAGAUGUUCUUAAGUCGUUUAAUGUUAUCCUAAGCCAAACUAAACCCAAUCAUGAAGAUUAUGCUGUGAUAUCACAAAUCGUGCACGAUUUACAAAUAACAUAUAGAGAAAUUACAAGUGAAGGUGGGAUGAUGGAACCAAUAGGAGAAGGUCGACCUUUAUUAUCAGUACAAGAUCUUGAAAAUAGAUUAGUAUUUACUAAGUGCAAACCAUUCGUUUUAAGUAAACCAGGUAGACAAUGGAUAUUUGGUGGUGAUCUUAGUAGAGUUGAAGGUCGCAAUGUUAGACAAUACUGGGCGUUGUUGUUUACCGAUAUUUUGCUUUUUGCGAAAGUUUCAAGAGAUAGGGUGUUGUUUAUUUUUGAAGAUCCACUUCCUUUGUCGCAUAUAACAGAUUUAACUUUUAAUGUUAGAAAAAAAGUUAACGAAUUUCGGAUAACGGUAGAACCUGGUGGAAAAACAGCUAGCAGCCCAACUGUUCAUUGCGGUCCAGAUUUAAGUAGAACACCUAGAAAGAACCCAAACAAAAAGUGUAUCCUUCUCCGAGCACCAACGACGGAAUUAAAAGCUGUUUGGCAAAACCUUCUUCAACGGCAGAUCUUCCACGUUAGCGCGGUUAUGGACGGCAGCGCCUUUAGCAGCCCGUUAGAAUCACCAGACGUCCCAAUCACUUCUUCGGUGGUCACGCUACAAUCCGCCGAUUCGCUGUCCAUACGUCGGCAGAAUAUACGACUCGUAAAGGAGAAAAGUGACUCUCAAAAGCACAUAGACGAACUUAUAGAGCACAAAUGCAAACAACUGGGCAAAUCUGCCACCGGUCAUAAAGGAAGUGCCAUUCACCUCGAGCAAUGGAUGAAAGGUCACCUGGGUACCACGACGACACAAUCGGCGCAAUCCCCCGAAGAAGAAAACGGUGAUUUUGAAGUUUGGACCGAGGAGAUGCUUAGGAAACGAUCCGCAGAACUCCAAAUCGUUCUUAAUCAGAAGAAUACCAUGUUUCGAUGUGAAUCCGCGCUCGAAGAAAUCAAUAUUUCGGAAUCCGAUGAUCAUAGUCCGUCCAAAAGCACCACCUCUGAAAGUCAAGUUACGGUUCGGUCAAGUCCUGUAGUUCCAGAAACUCUAUCAGUUUGCAGACAGUGUCACAGAACUUGCUUGACCAAUCAAAAUGGAACUUCAAUUUUUUUCCCUAAUAAUAAUCAAGACGUAUUCGGAGAAAAGAUAAUGACUCAAUCAAACGAUGAUUUAGGAGGUGGAUGGAGACCAUUAGUUUUAAUGGGAUUGACAGCGAUGAAUCCAGCAAGAAGUUUAAUAACGCCAGAUCCCUUCGCAGCUCCAGUUCCGAAAAUAUCAAUUGUGCCUCCGACUCCUGAUCUAACAAAAAAAGUUUGCGAAGACAACAAUUACGAUAAAACUAAUUGUAAUUGCACGGAAGGAACCAAUCAAACCAACAAUGAUAAUUCACCGGAUUCUCCUCAAACUGAAGACCAACCAUAUCACUCCUUAAAUAGUUCAAAUUUAACUCUGAGAAGAUAUGGAACAGUUUCGAGUUUAGAACGGGUUGGAUCCGAUGAAAUUAUUGAGGAGGAAGAAGAAGCCAACGAUAAUUCUAGUGAAGAAGAUGAUGAUGAGGUGUUUGAAGAAAACCAAGAAAAAGGAUUUUAUAACGAAGCCUUUAAUAAUUCAGGAAUUAGAGGAUGGACUGCAAGAGCCGGAUCUUUCGUAGCCGAAAAAAUGUCUUUUCUUGAAAGAUUAGGUGAAGAUUAUAAAGUUGGAAGUAGAUUUUUCGAACGAUAUUUAAGAUCUUCUGAAAUACAAGUAAACGGUGAAGAUGGGCAAGAAGAAGAAACAUCCGGGGCAACUUCCGGCGAAGAUGUUUGGGGUACUCCAACAAGUGGUGGUGAAUUAGAUGACCCCUUAAGUUCACCUUUGGAAGGGAGGCGUUCGCCUAAUGAUGGAUCAUUAUCAUCUAACGACGACAACACUGAGCUAAUGAUGGAUGAGCUUUUGAUGACUCCUCCGGUUACCAGCGCUGCAAUAAGAGGGUUAUUACCUAGAAGAACAUUAGAACCUUUAAUGGAAGAAGAAUAUUCUGAUACUUAUACUUCAUCAUCUUCUUCUUCUUCUUCAGAACGCGGUCAAACCGAUCCUUCGGGAUCACCAGAACAGACCUCAACGGUUCUUGUCUUUUUUUACAUUGUGGGCAGGACAACGGAACUGGAAGUGCUGCUGACAAAUGUUCGACUGCUGCAGAAAGAGACACGCCAAGCGUGGCCGCGACAGCUUCCGAUUUCGAAGAAUUAAAUGUUCAAAGGCGGGAGGCAGUGGUAGUGGCGGAGUCAAGUUCUUGCAGCUCGACUCCUUUACCAAGGAUCCAAAGAUCGGACAGUUACAGACACAUCAUCGAUCAGGAGGACGAGAAUCCGAACUUCUUUGCCCGACUGAAACCCACGGUGAAAUUCGUAAAUAUUGAACGAAUCCCAAGAUCAAAAGGCAUUAAGUUGUUGGAGUUUUUUAAUAUGAAACGAGAAAGAAAAAUUCACGAGUCUUUUACGGGGGCCCCGCCAAUGAUCAAUAUGUACAGCAGAGAAGAUUUCUUCGACGAAGUCGAGGAAUACGAUGCGAAACCAAUUUCAACAAAAAUUUUAAAA